This 485-nucleotide ribosomal RNA is filed under the name uncultured bacterium. RNAcentral's name for it is "partial 16S ribosomal RNA". It matches the Rfam family "Bacterial small subunit ribosomal RNA", at positions 28 to 507 of the family's 1533-position model. The record is from RNAcentral.
GAUGAACGCUAGCGACAGGCUUAACACAUGCAAGUCGAGGGGCAGCACAGGUAGCAAUACCGGGUGGCGACCGGCGCACGGGUGAGUAACGCGUAUGCAACUUACCUAUCAGAGGGGGAUAACCCGGCGAAAGUCGGACUAAUACCGCAUGAAGCAGGGGUCCCGCAUGGGGAUAUUUGCUAAAGAUUCAUCGCUGAUAGAUAGGCAUGCGUUCCAUUAGGCAGUUGGCGGGGUAACGGCCCACCAAACCGACGAUGGAUAGGGGUUCUGAGAGGAAGGUCCCCCAAAUUGGUACUGAGACACGGACCAAACUCCUACGGGAGGCAGCAGUGAGGAAUAUUGGUCAAUGGCCGAGAGGCUGAACCAGCCAAGUCGCGUGAGGGAUGAAGGUUCUAUGGAUCGUAAACCUCUUUUAUAAGGGAAUAAAGUGCGGGACGUGUCCCGUUUUGUAUGUACCUGAUGAAUAAGGAUCGGCUAACUCCGUG